GUCUCAGUGGUGUAGUGGUUAGCGCACGAGCCCUGGUUAGACGCGAGAUCGCGGGUUCGAAUCCAGCCUGAGAUG
This 75-nucleotide transfer RNA is filed under the name Nippostrongylus brasiliensis. It matches the Rfam family "tRNA". From Rfam's summary of the family: Transfer RNA (tRNA) molecules are approximately 80 nucleotides in length. Their secondary structure includes four short double-helical elements and three loops (D, anti-codon, and T loops). Lineage: Eukaryota; Metazoa; Nematoda; Chromadorea; Rhabditida; Heligmosomidae. The record is from Rfam by way of RNAcentral.